UAGAGGUCAUACAUACACAUCGGUCAGCACAUCUACGUUUGUCGUAUGUCGGAUGGAUGUGGGGCCGUGCCUUGGCACACCCCCCCCUUACAAACACGCUUGCACACGCUGUCGUCGGGCGCGCGUGGGCCACCAGGCCCCCGCGCCCCCAAACACACUAGGAUGAUCCAUCCGCAAAUUCGUUUACGGAUA
RNAcentral lists this unclassified non-coding RNA (192 nucleotides) under uncultured fungus. Its description in RNAcentral is "sequence contains ITS1". The record is from RNAcentral. Lineage: Eukaryota; Fungi.